Molecule: ribosomal RNA, 468 nt
Filed under: uncultured bacterium
Lineage: Bacteria
Description: partial 16S ribosomal RNA
Rfam family: Bacterial small subunit ribosomal RNA
Source: RNAcentral
GACGAACGCUGGCGGCGUGCUUAACACAUGCAAGUCGAACGGAAAGGCCCUUCUUUUGUGGGGUGCUCGAGUGGCGAACGGGUGAUUAACACGUGAGUAACCUGCCCUUGACUUUGGGAUAACUUCAGGAAACUGGGGCUAAUACCGGAUAUGAGCUCCUGCUGCAUGGUGGGGGUUGGAAAGUUUCGGCGGUUGGGGAUGGACUCGCGGCUUAUCAGCUUGUUGGUGGGGUAGUGGCUUACCAAGGCUUUGACGGGUAGCCGGCCUGAGAGGGUGACCGGCCACAUUGGGACUGAGAUACGGCCCAGACUCCUACGGGAGGCAGCAGUGGGGAAUAUUGCACAAUGGGCGGAAGCCUGAUGCAGCAACGCCGCGUGCGGGAUGACGGCCUUCGGGUUGUAAACCGCUUUCGCCUGUGACGAAGCGUGAGUGACGGUAAUGGGUAAAGAAGCACCGGCUAACUACGUG